This 468-nucleotide ribosomal RNA is filed under the name uncultured bacterium. RNAcentral's name for it is "partial 16S ribosomal RNA". It matches the Rfam family "Bacterial small subunit ribosomal RNA", at positions 28 to 507 of the family's 1533-position model. The record is from RNAcentral.
GACGAACGCUGGCGGCGUGCUUAACACAUGCAAGUCGAACGGAAAGGCCCUGCUUUUGUGGGGUGCUCGAGUGGCGAACGGGUGAGUAACACGUGAGUAACCUGCCCUUGACUUUGGGAUAACUUCAGGAAACUGGGGAUAAUACCGGAUAGGAGCUCCUGCUGCAUGGUGGGGGUUGGAAAGUUUCGGCGGUUGGGGAUGGACUGGCGGCUUAUCAGCUUGUUGGUGGGGUAGUGGCUUACCAAGGCUUUGACGGGUAGCCGGCCUGAGAGGUGGGCCGGCCACAUGGGGACUGAGAUACGGCCCAGACUCGUACGGGAGGCAGCAGUGGGGAAUAUUGCACAAUGGGCGGAAGCCUGAUGCAGCAACGCCGCGUGCGUGAUGACGGCCUGCGGGUUGUAAACCGCUUUCGCCUGUGACGAAGCGUGAGUGACGGUAAUGGGUAAAGAAGCACCGGCUAACUACGUG